UGUUACCCCGCUGGCCCGUAGCUAACUAAAGAUAGUUCCCUGAUUUCUUUUGAUACAAAUGAUUAACUGCGUUGUCUGCGUUUUGAAGAAAACCCUGCGGUUAAACAGCUCGAUUACCACCAGCCGUGGAAUAUUAUAAACCAAACUCCUGGUAAAAAUAAGAUUUAAGGAGCUGGCGUCACCCAGGAAGAGCAGGCUAAUGUUAGCUGCUAACUUAGCUUUUAGGAGAAGACGCUUUUUUCGUGUGUGUAGCCGUGUGUGUCACUCGGAGAGGAUGGUACCUGGUCAACAACAACAGGCUCGAAGAAUCUCAGGGAACUUUGUGAGAGGAUUACAAAACAUAAAAGCAGCAGGACAACGCUGUAAAACUGAAAGACCCAAAUGGACAGCGCACACAAACAGGGAGUUUAACAGCCAGGAGAAACAGUCUAUCAAAUGGUAUCAGUGGUGGAUCAGAGAGUGAGGUGUUGUCGGUGUUCCUGCGCCAUUCACUCAGCGGAGGCAAGCUUUUUACCGCUGCUCAGGUGAAUUGCAUCACAGCAGGACAAUGCAGAAGGGACCCCAUAUCCAUGACGUGCCGUUUCUCCGUGACUGCUGUGAACCAUUGUCACCUCUCAGCAACUCCAUUGAUAUGUCGAGAGAAAGACAGCUUACACCUCUGCCACUCUGCACUGUUCUUAUCUCGAUGACUUUAUUAUACAAUAUUCAUUGUAGUUUUCUUGCUGUGGAUGGCAUCAUCCUUGAGUAUCUCUUUCAAGAAAAGUACCUUGCAACUUGUGUAUGUUUCAUAUUGCGAGCCAUCAGUGGUCUUCCGCUUAAAGAGAAACUGAACCCCAGAGUUUUGGCUCAAGUGCCUCUACACUGGAAAUUAAAAAAAUGUCUCUAGAAUACUAAAAAACCAACAGCAUGGGAGAGGGGCUUAGGGGUGUUUGGUAACAAGCUGCCACCAUGCGUCACCUCCCACUGGAUCAGCCAAUAGAAAAAUUCAAUUGCAAUAGCUGGGUUUCAACCAGUAGGGGGCACUAUGCAUGUCGUGAAACUUCAAUUAGUAGCCUGGGCUAUUAUUUGCUAAAAUCACUCAACAAGCUUAUAUUUGGGACAGACAUUAUAGGACACACAAAAUACGAUCAAAUUGUUGAUUUGAGCUAGGAUGACUAUUACUUAUUUAAAAAUUAGGCACAUUAAUUAUGUAUCCUUAAUUAGAUCUUGCUCUGACAGACAGGGCAGGGAGUGUUAUGACACUCCAUCUGCACUCGAGGAUAACGGCACCUGACACAAUACCACUUUAUUCUGUUAAAACAAUAUUCAUAACUUGGAUUCAUUUUAAUGAAAAACUUUUGAUUGUUGUGAUCAGUGGACCCCUAUGGACUAAAGGGAGAUAAAUAACUAACUGGGUAAUUAAGAAAUAGAAACACAUUCUGACUUAAUGAGAGCAUUAGAGUUAGGGAGUCAACACUUUUUUUUUCUUCGUGCCUCUUGUUUACCAUGCCUGUAAAUCUGAAUUAAUUAUUCUCUGGUGCUCAGUAAAGUGAACUGAAUAACUGCAUUGUGAAGAAUCUAACCAGGCUAAUGUGAUGUAGCAUAUCUAUACUGACAAACGUUUAAACAUAUGUAUUUGUGUGAUCUAUACAGCUAUCUUAUGUUAGCUCAAGUGGACAUAGCCACUUACCUGGUUUUAUACAUCCAGAGAACGUCUAAAAAAAAUAAGCUGCUUGGCAACCAGACCAGGUGUCUAAUUGAGACAGGCCUAUAUUUGUUAAAAUGUGUUGCAACACCAGGCUAGUAAAAGGGACUGGGCGUUUAUUGGGACUAGGUUUUUAAUCUAAGUUUUUCGGUUUUUAUAACACAUAGAAUUCAAAUACUUGCACUAAAAUGUCGAGAUGGACCUGAUUUAAUCAACAACACUAAUAAAUACCUGUAUACAUUGGUUUUCAGCACUCUUAACAGGUUUCCAUUUAUCUCUGAAUGCUUGAGUAUGAAUAAAGGGUAUGU
Molecule: long non-coding RNA, 1992 nt
Organism: Epinephelus lanceolatus (giant grouper)
Lineage: Eukaryota; Metazoa; Chordata; Actinopteri; Perciformes; Serranidae
Source: RefSeq, a predicted model, not a curated record